AGUGAAUGCUGGCGGUAGGCCUAACACAUGCAAGUCGAACGGCAGCACAGUAAGAGCUUGCUCUUACGGGUGGCGAGUGGCGGACGGGUGAGGAAUACAUCGGAAUCUACUUUUUCGUGGGGGAUAACAUAGGGAAACUUACGCUAAUACCGCAUACGACCUACGGGUGAAAGCAGGGGAUCUUCGGACCUUGCGCGAUUGAAUGAGCCGAUGUCGGAUUAGCUAGUUGGCGGGGUAAAGGCCCACCAAGGCGACGAUCCGUAGCUGGUCUGAGAGGAUGAUCAGCCACACUGGAACUGAGACACGGUCCAGACUCCUACGGGAGGCAGCAGUGGGGAAUAUUGGACAAUGGGCGCAAGCCUGAUCCAGCCAUACCGCGUGGGUGAAGAAGGCCUUCGGGUUGUAAAGCCCUUUUGUUGGGAAAGAAAAGCAGCAGGUUAAUACCCCGCUGUUCUGACGGUACCCAAAGAAUAAGCACCGGCUAACUUCGUG
RNAcentral lists this ribosomal RNA (492 nucleotides) under uncultured bacterium. RNAcentral describes it as "partial 16S ribosomal RNA". It matches the Rfam family "Bacterial small subunit ribosomal RNA", at positions 29 to 507 of the family's 1533-position model. The record is from RNAcentral.